AUCAUUUUGUAGUUCAUAAGCAUGAUGACUGGGUUUUCAUGCUCAUGUGUGAGGUGUGCCUCCCUCAAACCUUGUUACAAUGUCAGCACAUUACCCAUCUGAUG
Prolemur simus (greater bamboo lemur) is the source of this 104-nucleotide small nucleolar RNA. The record is from Ensembl. Lineage: Eukaryota; Metazoa; Chordata; Mammalia; Primates; Lemuridae.